Gadus morhua (Atlantic cod) is the source of this 387-nucleotide long non-coding RNA. RefSeq lists it as uncharacterized. NCBI's taxonomy places the organism in Eukaryota, Metazoa, Chordata, Actinopteri, Gadiformes, Gadidae. The record is from RefSeq and is a predicted model, not a curated record. The transcript has 3 exons.
GGUACAGCCGGCUUCCCUCCGCCGGGGGGGACAAACUGCUCCGAGUAUGUGCUGAUGAGGUGCUGAGGACUCAUCUUUUCUCACCGUUCCCUGGAGAACCAACCGUCCACGUCUGCUCCACGAUCUGCUUUAACUUUGACACUCGAAGGGUCUCUGUGACAGCACCAGGCUGUUUGUCCCCCUACAGUGGCUCGCUGGCAUGUUUAACAGCCAAACUCCAGUCAGGUCCAAGGCAACAGAUGUACAGUAGGAGGGUGGGCGGGCCAAGGCGGGCGAUAGCAACCGCACAGCGUAGACCAGCUGAGCCCAACAGGGACAGAAGCAGGCCGUUUCCUCAGACUUCAAAGCGCUGGUCACAGUCCCAGAACUCAAAGACCAACACUCAUC